This is a long non-coding RNA of Musa acuminata AAA Group (dessert banana), 640 nucleotides long. RefSeq lists it as uncharacterized. The transcript is spliced from 4 exons. NCBI's taxonomy places the organism in Eukaryota, Viridiplantae, Streptophyta, Magnoliopsida, Zingiberales, Musaceae. The record is from RefSeq and is a predicted model, not a curated record.
AAGGGACGGAUGAGCUGCGCGAGCAGCAGCGACUCCAGAAACCCAUGGCGGAUAGGGCCAAGAAACGACGGCACCCGGAAGACGAUUUCCACCCGUCGCCGACAUUGUCGCCGCCCUUAGCGCAGAGGCGGGCGCGGUUCCCCAAGUGAAAGACAGCUAAGAGGGGCGACGAAAGACUCCCGGUCGAUGGGGGCGGCGGAGAUGAUCUCGACAAUUGGAUGGAUCCCCUGCUCGCCGCCAAGGAGCGUGCCAAGCGCCGCAACUGGACACGGGAGGACGAUCUCUUCGGCCCCCAGGAGGAUGUCUCCUCGGCUGAAGUCCGAUAUGAGAUGUAUUGGCGGCGAGUCUUGGGGUUGGUUGUGCUCCCGCAGUAGAAGUUUGCUGGGCUUGUUGGUGGUGUUCGGUUGAAGUUUACUGGUGCUUAUAUUUUCUUAGUUUGAUUUGUCAGAAUGGAGUGGUGAAUUUCUUGACUGAACUUUACUUUCCCUGCGUCACAAUCAAUCUUUGAUCUCCAUGUAUGUCUCUUUUUCACUAUUCUCUCUUCUUUUAUAAAUAAUUAAAUAGAUUAUUUGUCUUCUUUUCUUUAUUGGCAUAUUGUUAAAAUCUGGCUUAUGAUGGCACACCCCAAACGUUGGACAAU